This 1230-nucleotide long non-coding RNA is filed under the name Oncorhynchus mykiss (rainbow trout). Its description in RNAcentral is "lncRNA (ENSOMYG00000062076.1)". The record is from RNAcentral. Lineage: Eukaryota; Metazoa; Chordata; Actinopteri; Salmoniformes; Salmonidae.
GAUCACUGUCUGCCCCAACACAACACCCUCAGAGUUAAGGUCACUGUCUGGCCACACAACACCCUCAGAGUUAAGGUCACUGUCUGUCUACACAACACCCUCAGAGUUAAGGUCACUGUCUGUCCACACACAACACCCUCAGAGUUAAGGUCACAGUCUGUCCACACAACAACCUCACAGUUAAGGUCACAGUCUGUCCAGACAACAACACCCAAAGAGUUAAGAUCAUUGUCUGUCCACACAACAAACUCAGAGUUAAGGUCACAGUCUGUCCACACAACAACCUCAGAGUUAAGGUCACAGUCUGUCCACACAACAACCUCACAGUUAAGGUCACAGUCUGUCCAGACAACAACACCCAAAGAGUUAAGAUCAUUGUCUGUCCACACAACAAACUCAGAGUUAAGGUCACAGUCUGUCCACACAACAACCUCAGAGUUAAGGUCAACGUCUGGCCACACAACACCCUCAGAGUUAAGGUCACUGUCUGGCCACACAACACCCUCAGAGUUAAGGUCACUUUCUGCCCCAACACAACACCCUCAGAGUUAAGGUCACUGUCUGCACCAACACAACACCCUCAGAGUUAAGGUCACUGUCCGCCCUGACACAACACCCUCAGAGUUAAGGUCACUGUCUGCACCAACACAACACCCUCAGAGUUAAGGUCACUGUCUGCCCCAACACAACACCCUCAGAGUUAAGGUUAUUGUCUGCCCUGACAAAACACCCUCAGAGUUAAGGUCACUGUCUGUCCACACAACACCCUCAGAGUCAAGGUCACUCUCUGCCUGACACAACACCCUCAGAGUUAAGGUCACAGUCUGUCCACACAACACCCUCAGAGUUAAGGUCGCUGUCUGGCCACACAACACGCUCAGAGUUAAGGUCACUGUCUGGCCACACAACACCCUCAGAGGUAAGGUCAAUGUCUGGCCACACAACACCCUCAGAGUUAAGGUCACUCUCUGCCUGACACAACACCCUCAGAGUUAAGGUCACAGUCUGUCCACACAACACCCUCAGAGUUAAGGUCAAUGUCUGGCCAAACAACACCCUCAGAGUUAAGGUGACUGUUUGCACCAACACAACACCCUCAGAGUUAAGGUCACUGUCUGCCCUGACACAACACCCUCAGAGUUAAGGUCACUGUCUGUCCACACAACACCCUCAGAGUUAAGGUCACUUUCUGCCCCAACACAACACCCUCAGAGUUAAGGUCACUGUCUG